AGUAAGAGUAUAAUUUAUAGAGAAGCUAAAAAAGUCUUAGGGAUAAACUAGGAUUAGAUACCCUAUUAUACUAAGGUUUAAUGUAAAAAUGCUAGAUUAUUAUUAGAUAAGUUCUUUAAAAUUUAAAAAAAUUUGGCGGUGAUUUAGUCUAGUUAGAGGAACCUGUUUUAUAAUCGAUAUCCCACGUAAAGAUCUUACUAAAUUUUUAUUUAGUUUGUAUACCAUCAUUAGCAGAUGAAUUUUAGUAGAGGAUUAAUUAUUAAUUAUAGAUGACCAUAUAAAUUAGAUCAAGGUGCAGCUAAAAAUUAGUU
This 311-nucleotide ribosomal RNA is filed under the name Buea nlonako. Its description in RNAcentral is "Buea sp. 3 PAMN-2020 partial small subunit ribosomal RNA". Lineage: Eukaryota; Metazoa; Arthropoda; Malacostraca; Decapoda; Potamonautidae. The record is from RNAcentral.